Molecule: microRNA precursor, 208 nt
Filed under: Oryza sativa Japonica Group (Japanese rice)
Lineage: Eukaryota; Viridiplantae; Streptophyta; Magnoliopsida; Poales; Poaceae
Description: MIR812 microRNA precursor family
Rfam family: MIR812 microRNA precursor family
Source: Rfam by way of RNAcentral
AACAAAUGUAAUUUCGCACUAUUCUUAUCUAAUGUUUGACAUUUCAUCUUAUUUAAUUUUUUUUAUGAUUAGUAUUUUUAUUGUUAUUAGAUGAUAAGUCAUAAAUAGUAUUUUAUGUGUGACUAAUAUUUUUAAAUUUUUUUAUAAAUUUUUUUAAAUAAGACAGACGGUCAAACGUUGGAUACAUAUACCCUCGGCUAUAUUUAUU